GAUGAAGAACGUAGCGAAAUGCGAUAAUUAAUGUGAAUUGCAGAAUUCCGUGAAUCAUCAAGUCUUUGAACGCACAUUGCGCCUCAUGGCAUUCCGUGAGGCAUGCCCAUCUCAGCGUUAGAAAAUAUUCUCAAAUUUUAGUUUUGUGCUAAAAUUUGGAUCAUGUCAAGGAAGCUAUUACUAUUAUUGUGAUCGCUCUUUGGAAAUUGAUAGGUCUUUGAGUUGCUACUCAUAGAACGUGAUGAAUCUUUCUUCGUUCUAUUGUAAUUCACUCUGGUAGUCCUAAAACUUGUAUGCCUGUGGCAUAUCUUGUAAUUUGACCUGAGAUUGGGUAGGGAUACCCGCUGAACUUAAGCAUAUCAAUAAGCGGAGGA
This 374-nucleotide unclassified non-coding RNA is filed under the name soil metagenome. RNAcentral's name for it is "partial contains internal transcribed spacer 2 and large subunit ribosomal RNA". The stretch from base 1 to 120 matches the Rfam family "5.8S ribosomal RNA", at positions 35 to 154 of the family's 154-position model. The record is from RNAcentral.